UACGGGGGGGGCAAGCGUUGUUCGGAAUUACUGGGCGUAAAGGGCUCGUAGGCGGCCAACUAAGUCGGACGUGAAAUCCCCAGGCUCAACCUGGGAACUGCGUCCGAUACUGGAUGGCUUGAAUCCGGGAGAGGGAUGCAGAAUUCCUGGUGUAGCGGUGAAAUGCGCAGAUAUCAGGAGGAACACCGGUGGCGAAGGCGGAUCUCUGGGCCGAUACUGACGCUGAGGAGCGAAAGCGUGGGGAGCGAACAGG
This 253-nucleotide ribosomal RNA is filed under the name uncultured bacterium. RNAcentral's name for it is "partial 16S ribosomal RNA". It matches the Rfam family "Bacterial small subunit ribosomal RNA", at positions 524 to 776 of the family's 1533-position model. The record is from RNAcentral.